RNAcentral lists this long non-coding RNA (930 nucleotides) under Neogobius melanostomus (round goby). RNAcentral's name for it is "lncRNA (ENSNMLG00000014936.1)". The record is from RNAcentral. Lineage: Eukaryota; Metazoa; Chordata; Actinopteri; Gobiiformes; Gobiidae.
ACCCUUAGGCUCUAAAAUGAAGUGAUCCAACUGAUCUAGACUUUUGCAGAGGCUCUUACUUAUCUCUUCAUCACCAUCCUGUGUGUUUGCGUGGCUGUGCUGGUGCUGCUGCUGGUAGUUAUUGUCCUUCUUAAAAAAGGCAAAAGAAGAAAUGACGCUCCACCACAGAAUAACAGACAGGAGGAGUACGUCUAUGAGGAGAUACAGUUGCCAAGCGCAAGGAAGGCAGUAACCACGGUCUACGCCACAGCCGAUCCCUGUAAGGAGUCACUUCACUACAUGACCGUUGAUUUUGGGAAAAGUGGCAACACCUCUGAGCCCAAACCCAGCUCCUCUCACUGUCAAUACAGCACUGUGUUCAAUAAGAGAGCAGACACAUGCACCAUCCAAGCAGCACCAUCUGAGGAACCCCUGUACUGCAACGUUAACACAAAGUACUAAUGCAAUGGGGAGUGUUUUUGGGGUAUAGUAAAACAUGUGUGCUAUACAUAUUGUUUGCAGGACUUUGUGAAAAAUACUGAGCAGUUUGUACAUAAGGCUCCAUUGAAACCGAAUAUUUUGGAUACAUACUGUACAUAACAGGGUUUAUACUGGCAGGAGCAAGUCCAUUUUAAUGCCCAAAUACUAUAUUUCAAUGCCAUAAACGCAGAAAAAAAAUCUAUAUAUAUAUUUAAUUUCUUAAGAUUUGCAAACGGAGAAAAGAUUGAGUAUGUUUUAGUCCAUCAUUUACUUGUUUUUGGUGAACCUAUUGUUGAGCAAUGUCAUAUUUUUCUAAUAAAUUUGUCUAGUUUAAUGCUUUAAUACCUCACGGAAACCCUGCAUAAUUGUAAUCUUUGCGAUUUGCUAAUGCCAUAAUACUGUAAGAGAAAUGCUUUUUUAAAUUGUUCUUAUUUAGUCUAUUUUAGUUUUGUUCUUUGCCUUUAAUUUAAU